ACAGAUGGUGUAAUGGUUAACAUUUCUGCCUCUCACGCAGGAGCUCGGGGUUCGAUUCCCCGUUUCGGA
Molecule: non-coding RNA, 69 nt
Organism: Hyaloscypha bicolor E
Lineage: Eukaryota; Fungi; Ascomycota; Leotiomycetes; Helotiales; Hyaloscyphaceae
Source: the annotation of a RefSeq genome assembly